Molecule: ribosomal RNA, 450 nt
Filed under: uncultured bacterium
Lineage: Bacteria
Description: partial 16S ribosomal RNA
Rfam family: Bacterial small subunit ribosomal RNA
Source: RNAcentral
CCUACGGGUGGCAGCAGUGGGGAAUUUUGGACAAUGGGGGCAACCCUGAUCCAGCCAUGCCGCGUGCGGGAAGAAGGCCUUCGGGUUGUAAACCGCUUUUGUCAGGGAAGAAAUCUCCUGGGCUAAUACCUCGGGGGGAUGACGGUACCUGGAGAAUAAGCACCGGCUAACUACGUGCCAGCAGCCGCGGUAAUACGUAGGGUGCAAGCGUUAAUCGGAAUUACUGGGCGUAAAGCGUGAGCAGGCGGUUGAAAUCCCCGGGCUUAACCUGGGAACUGCAUUUGUGACUGCAUAGCUGGAGUGCGGCAGAGGGGGAUGGAAUUCCGCGUGUAGCAGUGAAAUGCGUAGAUAUGCGGAGGAACACCGAUGGCGAAGGCAAUCCCCUGGGCCUGCACUGACGCUCAUGCACGAAAGCGUGGGGAGCAAACAGGAUUAGAUACCCGAGUAGUC